Long non-coding RNA from Macadamia integrifolia, 2220 nucleotides. RefSeq lists it as uncharacterized. NCBI's taxonomy places the organism in Eukaryota, Viridiplantae, Streptophyta, Magnoliopsida, Proteales, Proteaceae. The record is from RefSeq and is a predicted model, not a curated record. The transcript has 3 exons.
UUUUUUUUUGGGGGGGGGCGUUGGGGUAGCCCAUGAAGGUGUUCUUGGUGGAAGUGGAUACAGGACUGCAUAGGAAUGAUUUGAAGAAAUUAGAUUCAUAUUGCUUAAGUAUGAGCUAUUGUUUCUUCUGGUGGGAUGGUCAAUAUUCAGAUGAUUCAAAGUAAAGCACUGCUGAUAUGACAGUUUUUGUGAGAACCAUACUAGGCCUUUUGUUGUGUCAAAUUGAGGAAAGAAAAUCUAAAGUAAUUGUAUCUGUUUUUGACGAUGGUCUACUAAUUGGAUGGCCUCAUAACAUCCAUUAGAGAUGGUUCCCCAGCCUAAUGCAUGGAUCAUUGGUUUGGGAGCCGGGGGUUUGUCAAAUUACCCUUCAUGCUGGUAGUCCAUCUUUAUAUAUAUAUAUAUAUAUAUAUAUUUUUUUUGAUAUCGCAGGUUUCCAUAUUUUUUUAGAUCUGCUAGAGAAUAUUUAAAGUAAUACCGUUCAUGUAGUUCAUAAAGUUUUUUGAAAAAAAGAACUGAGAAAAUUUUCCACUCCUUUAUUCCAACAUUAUGUGGAGUAGCCUAAAAUAGAGCUCGUGCUUAGUUGGCACAUUCCGCCGGUGACUGCAUCUUGGAUGGAAAUUCGUAAUUUGUUCACCAAUAGAGUAAAAAAAAAUGUAUUGAUUUUGGUCUGCUUGGUUUCAGUAGUCCAUCUGUCACAGGAUAUUGGCUUCUCUAAUUGUGAUAUACUUGAUGAUAUGGGUCAGAGAAUAGAUAAGUUGGAGCAGAGUAUCAACGAACUCAGAAACAAGGGGUCUCUCUCUCCAUUGGCCCCAACUAAAGCGAAGGCGGAAGACUCGAAACCAGCCAGUAGUUCACCAUGAUAUUAGGUGUGGUGUGCUGUGUAGUUUGUGAAUGAAAGGGCUGGACCUAUUAUACUGUUGCCUUUCUUUGCACUUCGCAGACUGGAAGACUACAACUCUCUGUUAUGCUGAGAUUACCGUCUUCUACAAAUAUCUUUAAUAACAUUACUUGAUUUUUCUAUGACAAGGUACUUUUGGAGUGAUGGAGAUGGCUGAAAAGAUAUCACCUAUUGUUCUAAGGACAGAGGAAAUAUAAGGUGCAGGAUAUGCUAUUGGAUUUCAAAGGAAGUCUGGUAGCUCCCAGCAGCAGCCAACUUGAGGCUCCAUUGAUGGUCAAUCCAAAUUUAUACUUAGGCUGGUUGCUAGUAAUGGAGUCUUGGAAUCCAACACAUGAUACUCAUACCCCACCUGAGAAUCAAUUGGGAAAUCAGCAGAGUCUAAAGCUUAAGGACAUUCGAAGGCCCGCAGUUAGGGGUCCACAGAGAGUAACCACAGUGCAAGCAUGCAACCACCUUUUGAAGAGCACAUGAGAAGAUACUUUAAUGCUGAUCGGCCUACACUUCAUUGACACACUGGUGAUUCACAAAAAGCAAUCUUGAACUCAAGGAGUACAUUGGUAAGCAUGACCUUUUAUGACUAGUUGGCAGACUGGUUGAUUAUUUCGAUUGCUUUGAUCUAUCUGAGGAAAGGAGGAAGAAACUAGCUCACACUAAGCUAGUAGGUUCAGCACGUGAGUGGUAGAGAAGCCAUGAGCAAGAGCUUGAAGAUCAUGGUAAAGCGCCGAAGCUGCCGAUUACCUAAGAGGAGAUGAAGCAAGAGCUAAGGAUUGCCACCUACUUUCAGAGCUUAACUACAGGACAAGCUAAAUUCUCUUUGUCAAGGGAAUUUGUCAGUUGCAAAGUACAUGGAGGUAGUUCACUUCUCUUUCUUCUCGUACUGGCAUUAGAAAGAAUAACGCAUAAGUACUAUCUCAGUUUCGACUGGGAUUAGGGCUGAUAUCAAUGGGGCCAUUGGUGUUACAGAUGUAAUCAACAUACAAGACUGUUUCGAGAAAGCUCUCCGUGCAAAAGAGUUAGAUGCACCCGUUUGGAUUUCAACUUGGGGAGAACAAGAAGAAUUUUCCAGCUACUAAAUCCACCACUGCAGCCCCUACAUGUGCCUCACUUCCUCCACGUUAUGAUAACAAAGAGAAGGCACCUACGACCAGUGGCAAUAGGUUUAAUGUUACAAUUGUCAAGAGAUUGGACACUUUGCAAAAGACUUGUCUAAAUAGUCAAAGAGUGAAUAUUGUUGCUGAAAUUGAAGGAACACCCUAAGAUGUAGACACCGAUCUCUUUCCAUAUCAACUUGAUGAUGGUACUUAUGGUAUUCAUAUGGUCAA